AGUAAAAGACAUCAUGCUUGACAAUAUGGAUGGGUCUUAUCCAACCAGUUGAAAGUUUUAAGAGCAAUUAAGGUUUUCAAGGGAGAAAUCAAUUCUGAUGGAGACUGUAACAACAAAAUCCUGCCUCAGUUUCCACUCUACAAAGCUAAUCCAUAAAUAUCACCUUUCUUUUUACAAUUGUGUAGACUAACACCUUAAAGUAAAUACCUUAUCAUAGCCACCCUAAUGUAUGUCUUAUUGGUAACUUAUCUUUGAAAACUCUGAUUAAUACAAUAUGUUUGGUAAAGUGUUUAUUUACUGUACAAUUCUAUUCUCAUUUGACUCAAAGAAAUGUAGAGGACAGAUAUAGAAAAACACACCAAGGGAAUAUUGGGAUAAGCUCUGAGCAAUUGUCUUAGGUAAUGUAUUUAUUUAAACUUUCUUUUUGGAUAUAUUAUUUUCAAUAAUGUAAUUUCCCUUUGAGAUGAUGAAGAAAUACAGAAAACCUUCUUGUGGUUUUAUGAUGAUAAAUGCAAAUCUGAGGGGAAAGUAUGGGAAAGAGGAGAUCUCAUCAUUAAACUAGAGAUGUUUCUCAGUUAUGAGAGUGAAUAGAAAAGAAUAAAUAAACCACAUUUCAAAAUAUAUCAAAGUAUUUUAUAAACCUAUGGCAGUUUGUUUAAGGAAUGGAAAAAUUAAAUAUAAGAAUAUAUAUUUUCAACUGUCUUUUUUAUUUUUAAUACUCUAGAUAUUUUUCAUUGUGCCUUAUUCUAGGCUGCAUGUCAUUCUUGUUUUCUCAACUCACUGGGUCAGUGCCACACCUCAAGACUUCUGCAUAUAACUUCUUGCCACCAGUCAGGGAACCCAUUCCACACAUGGAGCAGCCCACAAACAGCAAACCAUGAAGACAAGCUCAGAGCUCUGUGAAUAUUCUGUCCUGAAAAAAAUCCACCACUAAUAUGAAGAUAGAUUUGGAGACACAAGUUGGACAAAGCCAGCCUGAAAUGACACAACUCAUGAUUUGUUUUUCUCUUCAAACAGGCUCAGUGCUGUCUAUGGCUAGUUAUAGAGGCCACAUGUCCUGGGCAAAAAUUGUUACUAAUGAUCUGACAAAGAAAAGUCUCAGAAUCAGCUAAUUUUAAAAAUCACGCUGAGUUUAAUAUAAUUGCUUUAAAACUCAUGCUUAGUGGUGGUUUUAAUAAGUUACCUUCAUUAAAAUGUAAAACAUGGUACGUAACUAAGACAACUUCUGAAAAUAGAGGGAAUAAAAUACUGGAUAGCCCAGAGACUGAAGGUAGAACCAAACAUGAUGACUGGCAAAAAACAAAAUCAAUGAAGUGAUUCCUAAUGAUAUUCUGCUGUAUUAAUAGAUCUGUGCCUUGUCCAGUCAUUGUCAGAGAGGCUUCAUUCAACAGCAGAUGGGAACAUAUGCAGAGACUCACAGCCACAUAUUAUAUAGAGAGAGUCUAAAUUGGAGAUUUCUACCCAUUUCCUCCCCUUGGAGAUCAGGGAAGUGUAGCAGGAAUCUUAAAUUGUCUUAUUAAUAAAAACAAACCUGGAGCCAGGUAUUGGGGUGAAUGCUGGAAGAUCAGAGAAGCAGAACAAGCCACAGUUACCUCACCUUGCCAAUUCCUCAGCUGAUCCUGUUUCCUCAGACUGGAAGCCUCUCAGUCCUUAUCCAAAAUGAAUCUCAGCUGAACUGUUGCUCGAAAGCCUAAAAGCAUAACCAGUCAAAUGCCUCUAGUUUCUGGUCUUCAUGCCUUAUAUAUCUUUCUGCUUUCUGCCGUCACUCCCUGGGAUCAAAGGCUCACUUCCUGGGAUUAAAGGUGUGAGUCCCCAUGCCUGGCUGUUUCCAAUGUGGCCUUGAACUCACAGAGAUCCAGAGGGAUUUCUGCCUCUGAAAUGCUAGGAUUAAUAGGCGUGUGCUACCACUACCUAUACUCUAUGUUUAAUAUUGUGGCUGUUCUGUUCCAUGACCCCAGACUAGUUUAUUAGCGUGCACAAUAUUUUGGGGAACACAAUACCACUACAGGAAAGCCUGAAGAAGAGGGGGAGGAAAGAUUGUAGGAGUCAGAGGGCAUGGAGGACACAGGAGAACAAGGGCCACCGAAUCAACUAAGCAGGGCUCGCAUGAGUUCACAGAGACUGAACCAGCAAGCAUGGGGUCUGCAUGGGUCUACACCAGGUCCUCUGAAUAUAUGUUAUGACUGUUAGCUUGGUGUAUUUGUGGGACUCCUAACAAUGGUAGUGAGUAUAUCUCUGACUCUUUUGCCUGCUCUUGGGACUCUUCUUCCUGUUGGGUUGCCUUGUCCAGUCUCAGUAUGAGGGCUUUUGCCUUGCCUUACUGUAUCUUGCUUUGUUCUCGUUGGAUGUCACCUCUUGGAGAUCUGCUCUUUUCUGAAGAGGAAACAUAGGGGGAGUGGAUCUUGAACAGAGGGGAAGUGGCAGGGGAAGCUGGAAGGAAUGGAGGGAAGGGAAACUAUGCUUGGAAUGUAUUGUAUUAAGGAAGAAUCUAUU
Peromyscus californicus insignis is the source of this 2493-nucleotide long non-coding RNA. RefSeq lists it as uncharacterized. Lineage: Eukaryota; Metazoa; Chordata; Mammalia; Rodentia; Cricetidae. The record is from RefSeq and is a predicted model, not a curated record. The transcript is spliced from 3 exons.